UGGCUGCAACAAUGGAGAUUCUCUACAGA
This 29-nucleotide non-coding RNA is filed under the name Callithrix jacchus (white-tufted-ear marmoset). Lineage: Eukaryota; Metazoa; Chordata; Mammalia; Primates; Cebidae. The record is from RNAcentral. RNAcentral also lists the same sequence under 1 other name.